This 468-nucleotide ribosomal RNA is filed under the name uncultured bacterium. RNAcentral describes it as "partial 16S ribosomal RNA". It matches the Rfam family "Bacterial small subunit ribosomal RNA", at positions 28 to 507 of the family's 1533-position model. The record is from RNAcentral.
GACGAACGCUGGCGGCGUGCUUAACACAUGCAAGUCGAACGGAAAGGCCCUGCUUUUGUGGGGUGCUCGAGUGGCGAACGGGUGAGUAACACGUGAGUAACCUGCCCUUGACUUUGGGAUAACUUCAGGAAACUGGGGCUAAUACCGGAUAGGAGCUCCUGCUGCAUGGUGGGGGUUGGAAAGUUUCGGCGGUUGGGGAUGGACUCGCGGCUUAUCAGCUUGUUGGUGGGGUAGGGGAUUACCAAGGCUUUGACGGGUAGCCGGCCUGAGAGGGUGACCGGCCACAUUGGGACUGCGAUACGGCCCAGACUCCUACGGGAGGCAGCAGUGGGGAAUAUUGCACAAUGGGCGGAAGCCUGAUGCAGCAACGCCGCGUGCGGGAUGACGGCCUUCGGGUUGUAAACCGCUUUCGCCUGUGACGAAGCGUGAGUGACGGUAAUGGGUAAAGAAGCACCGGCUAACUACGUG